GAUAGAUCAUCUAGCUUAUCUUAAAGUUUUAAUCUUAUAUAUACUUAAAGAUAUAGAAAUAAUAGAUAUUAAGAAAAUAAUAUUAGAAAAAGUAAUAGACUAUGAAAUUGAAAUCAUAAAUUGGCUAGAACAGUUAUACGAAGAAAUUUAUCCAGAAAGAUAUUAUUCAGAUUAAGAGAUGUUAGAAUAUAUUAGAAAAAUUAGAGAAAAUCAAGAUAAUCUAGAUAAUGAAAUUAAUUAUAGAAACCGAAUUAGAAAAAUAAUGGAAA
RNAcentral lists this long non-coding RNA (269 nucleotides) under Capsicum annuum. RNAcentral's name for it is "long non-coding RNA (CANN_LNC008005)". The record is from RNAcentral. Lineage: Eukaryota; Viridiplantae; Streptophyta; Magnoliopsida; Solanales; Solanaceae.